Molecule: ribosomal RNA, 3115 nt
Filed under: Echinococcus canadensis
Lineage: Eukaryota; Metazoa; Platyhelminthes; Cestoda; Cyclophyllidea; Taeniidae
Description: eukaryotic LSU rRNA
Rfam family: Eukaryotic large subunit ribosomal RNA (bases 512-3115)
Source: RNAcentral
CUGUAGCAACAGCAUGCAAAACGGAGUAAGAGGCGCCGAUUCCACGCCAAACAUUAUUGAACCCGUGAGAGACCUUCAAGCGAUUGUUCAAUGUUAAUUGCAAGAGGAGAAGACCACUACUAGAAAAGAAUUGUAGAUGUUUAAUAAAAAUAUUAAAACAAGUCUUUUAAAGAAAUUAUGGCAAUUAACAAUCGUAAAGGACAACGUUAUCUCUGAAGGUGAUCGAAUAUGCAAUUUAGAUGAUAUAAUGAACCAUGUGAAUGCUAAAUUACGCAUAUUAGAUGGGAAACGGACAAGGUGACCUAAUCCGUGUUGUAGAGAAGGCAAUCGAUCCAUAGGAAGGAAACACUACAAUUCGCUACAAAACCAAAAGAUUUGCACAAUCAUACGUUUCCAAAAUGCUUCACGUUUUACACUAACCGAUCUAAGACUAGAGGUAGAAGAGAAGAACAGCAAAAAUUUGCACUGAUGGCAGACCUUCAACCCUUCACAGCGGACACAGACCUCAAAAAGCGACUCGAGUAUACCAGAUUAAGGCCUUAGUUCUGUCUUCGACAAAAGAAAAACCCAGCAGAAUUGAGCAGUGUGACUAAGGAAAGAGUUAAGGCAACAGAAAGUGUCGUUCUAACAUCUGUCGUGGUGAGCGUAGAAUCCGCAGACAUGAGUCUGGGUGGAGCCUUCACGGGUGCAGAUCUUGGUGUUGUAGUAGCAAGUAUUUUGAGGGCCAAGGUGGAGAAGGGUUCCAUGGGAACGGCAGUUAGCCAUGGGUCUUGUAGUCCUAAGUGAUCCGGUGAUCCAGUGCAGUCAUGGAGUGCCAUGCAUGCUGCGUGCAUGCAUAGGUGUGGGGUAGUUCAUUGGCAGCCCCCUAUAGCGAAAGGGAAUCGGGUUAACAUUCCUGACCCAGCUCACGGAGAUGGGUGGUGUCGGUCGGUCGGUGGGUUGGUUAGUUUGCAGUGCUGCUGCUGCAGGCAGCCUGCGGAGAAAUCGGCCGGCACAUGACAUGGGCGUCACCAUCAGGCGCGGUAACGCAAACGAACUCGGAGACAUCGGCAAGAUUUCCAAAGAGAGUUAUUUUUUCUUUGUAGGACGGUUAGCACCCCUGAAAUUGGGUUGUCCGGAGAUAGGGGUAUCACCUCUGUAAAGCACCACCCAUCUUGUAGUGUCCGGCACGCUCCCUUGGGCCCUUAAAAAUCUGAGGGAGGCAGUGUUAUUUUCGUGGCAGGCCGUACCCAUAUCCGCAUCAGGUCUCCAAGGCGAAGAUCCUCUGGCACUAGAAUAAUGUAGGUAGGGGAAGUCGGGAUUCUUGAUCCGUAACCGCGGAAAGAGGAUUGGCUCUGAAAGCUGAGUGGAACAAGCUAAGGAAAGAAACAAGCUAACUCAGUUUGCAGCUGGCUGAUGGACGGGCUGGCUAGCUGUUGGACCACCGCCUCCACCGCCGUCGUUGAGGUGGUGGGUGGGUGUGCAGCAUGCAGUUGAGCCCGUCCCUUGGCUGGAGGCGAGUAGGGUGAACCGUGGGCGGACCCAGAUAAAUGUGCACCUCGGUCGAUUGGUUGGUUAGUUGAUUGUCGAUGCUGCUGCUUGUUUGCUGUUCGUUGGAGAGUGGUGUGGUGCUCGGCACUACUGCUGGCUAGCCUCGUUGGGGGGUGCUUGUUUAGUGCCAAACACCCAACCCAGAACUAACAUGGACCUGAGGAAUCCGACUCUCUAAUUAAAACAAAGUUUUGUGAUGUCCACUGGUUUGUUCUAGUGCAAUGUGAUCUCUGCCCAGUGCUCUGAAGUCAAAGUGAAGAUUUUCAACCAUACGCGUGUAAACGGCGGGAGUAACUACGACUCUCAUAAGGUAGCCAAAUGCCUCGUCAUCUAACUAGUGACGCGCAUGAAUAAAAUUAAGGAGAUUUCUACUGUCCCUAGCUACCAUCUAGCGAAACCACAGCCAAGGGAGCAGGCUUGGCAGAAUUAGUGGGAAAAGAAGACCCUGUUCAGCUUGACUCUAGUCCGACUUUGUGAAGAGAUAUGGUGGGUGUAGCAAUAAGUGGUAGGCUCAGUGUGUGCUGCUGCAUACAUUCUUGUAGCGGCGCGUGCGUACGUGCCGGCGACGACAAUGCAAGACCACUCCCAUCAUCGUUUUUUUACUUAUUCGGUAGAGUGUGAUAAACAAUGUGUAUAAAGCAGUUGGAUUGGCACUGAAGCACAUGCCGACGUGUGGGCUCGAGCUCACUUGUCGACAUCUUCGGUCGCAGCUGGCUGGCCAUUGUCUGCUGCUGCUCCUGCCGCUGCUGUUGUGGUGGGUAUGUGGGUGGUGGGCAGUGGUGUUAUCGGUCGGAGUGUGUGUGCGACCCGAUCUAAAGACAUUAUCAGGCGGGGUGUUUGACUGGGGCGGUACAUCUGUCAAAUCGUAACGCAGGUGUCCCAAGAUGAGCUCAGCCAGGACAAAAACCUGGCAUGGAGUAGAAGUGCAAAAGCUCACUUGAUUUUGGUUUUCAGUACCAAUACACACCGUGAAAGUGUGGCCUAUCGAUCCUUUUGAUAAUUCCACCACAUUCCAAGUUUGACGCAAGAGUUGUCAGAAAAGUUACCACAGGGAUAACUGGCUUGUGGCGGCCAAGUGUUCAUAGCUACGUCGCCUUUUGAUCCUUUAAUGUAGGCUCUUCCUAUCAUUGUGAAGCAGGAUUCACCAAGCGUUGGGUUGUUCACCCACUAAUAGGGAACGUGAGCUGGGUUUAGAUGGUCGUGAGAGAGGUUAGUUUUACCCUACUGAUGGGCACAGUGCGUGUGAUGAGUGAAGUGUAAGCAGGUCGCUGCCAUGGUAAUCUUGUUCAGCACGAGAGGAACUGCAGGUUCAGAUAUUUGGUGCAUAUGCCUAAUCGAUCAGCCAAUGGUGCGAAGCUACCAUCGGAGGGAUUAAGACUGAACGCCUCCAUGUUUGAAUCCCAUCCAAAGAGGUAAAAAUACACUACGGCCUGCCACAUGGUGAGACAGCCACAGCACUUUCCAUUCGUCGCUUUCCUUCCCACGCAGCCAGCGUGCUGCAUCGACUGCGAAUGGUCUGGCUGGUGGUGCGAGGCCAGAGCGUAGACCACAACCUCGUGCAUCAAAUGGUCAUGAUGCUGCGUGG